This 551-nucleotide ribosomal RNA is filed under the name Isanda coronata. RNAcentral's name for it is "partial 16S ribosomal RNA". It matches the Rfam family "Bacterial large subunit ribosomal RNA", at positions 1825 to 2597 of the family's 2925-position model. Lineage: Eukaryota; Metazoa; Mollusca; Gastropoda; Trochida; Trochidae. The record is from RNAcentral.
GUCUCCUCGAAAAAUGUUUUAUGGGGAGUCGGACCUGCCCGGUGACUAGAGUGUUAAACGGCCGCGGUACCCUAACCGUGCAAAGGUAGCAUAAUCAUUUGCCUUUUAAUUGAAGGCUUGUAUGAAUGGUCUGACGAGAGCUAAGCUGUCUCUUUUAAAAUACAUAGAAAUUAACUUUUAGGUGAAGAGGCCUAAGUAGAGCUGAAAGACAAGAAGACCCUGUUGAGCUUUAGUGAAAUUUUGUUUAGUUGAAGCUAUUGAGCUUUAUUACAUUAAUGAAAUAAUUAAACUUAAUUAAUCUUUAGUUGGGGCGACUGAGGAACAUACAAAGCUUCCUCUUAUAGGUAAAUUGAUUUUAGUUAAUUUUUGUAGACCAAUUUGUAUAUGAUCCGACACUUGUCGAUUAAGGGAACAAGUUACCACAGGGAUAACAGCGUAAUCUUUCUGGAGAGAUCUAAUCGAAAGAAGGGUUUGCGACCUCGAUGUUGGACUAAGAUAUCCUGAGGGUGUAGAAGUUUUCAAGGGUUGGUCUGUUCGACCAUUAAAAUCUU